Molecule: unclassified non-coding RNA, 155 nt
Filed under: Triticum spelta
Lineage: Eukaryota; Viridiplantae; Streptophyta; Magnoliopsida; Poales; Poaceae
Description: partial external transcribed spacer
Source: RNAcentral
CAUGGAAAACUGGGCAAAACCACGUACGAGGCACACACACGUACACGGACCCUUACACGGACCCGUGAACGGGCUGUACGUGGAUACGUGAAAAAAACGGCCGACGCCCGUCGUGGACGGAACGUGACGCGCGCCAUGGAAAACUGGGCAAAACC